Paramormyrops kingsleyae is the source of this 1505-nucleotide non-coding RNA. The record is from RefSeq and is a predicted model, not a curated record. Lineage: Eukaryota; Metazoa; Chordata; Actinopteri; Osteoglossiformes; Mormyridae.
ACACUGUUGAGUAUAGCAUCAAAAUGACUGUAUCUAAUUGUAUUUAUAUAGCACUUUUAUAAUCUUAACUACUCUAAGUGCUUCCAACUAGAUUCCCCCACAGGGCUAGUAACCUAUCAGGACCACUUAUGGCUAGUUUCAAAUCACCAGUUAACCUGACAAUCAUGCAGGCAAGCAAACACCACACUGACAGUUCCUGCUAACUUGUGGAUUUAUGCUGCAAUACUGCAGUAGUAAUUUGCUGUAUAUCUGAAACCCCAAUGGCAUUUAGUGCUGGUCAAUAGUAUUAUUCAGGUGAUGUAGUGAAAUUAUUCUCAUUUCAGUCUCAAGACUGCAGGAGUCUUUACGCAGGGUUGAUGCAGAGGGAGUGCAUAUGAGACGCUUAAGGCUGCAAAUAUUGCGACGACGGCAGUAUUCUGUUCCUGGCCCAAAUCAUCUUUGGCAUAUUGAUGGUAACCAUAAGCUCAUAAGGUGGAGAUUUGUGGUGCAUGGCGGGGUGGAUGGAUUCAGUAGAUUAGUGGUUUACCUUACUGUAGCUGGUAAUAAUAGGGCAAGCACAGUCUUGCAAAGCUUUAUGGAAGCUGUUGAGCAAUAUGGGCUGCCAUCAAGGGUUCGGUCUGAUAAAGGUGGGGAGAAUGCAGAUGUUGCAGAAUUCAUGAUCAGGAACAGAGGUACGGACAGGAAUAAUCACACCACAGGCAGAAGCGUCCACAAUCAACGAAUAGAGAGGAUGUGGAGAGAUGUCUAUGAGCAUGUUCUAGACCUCUUCUACCAGAUAUUUGUUUCACUGGAAGAUCGGGGAACACUAAAUCCAGACAAUGAAGUCCAUCUUUACACCCUGCACCGGAUCUUCCUUCAUCAAAUACAGAAACAUCUCGAGACUUUCAGAGCUGCAUGGAACUGUCAUGGUCUUAGAACUGAAAGGAAUCAAUCACCCCAGCAACUAUGGACAAGAUAUAGAGAGCCAGCCACUGUGUUGGAGCUUGUAGAGGUGACCGAAAACUAUGGAAUUGACUGGAAUGGGCCUCACAGUCACCAUGAAGACGCCGUGUCAGUCCCAGAGAUUCAGCUUGCCCGUGAGCUCACAGAUGAAGAGGUUGCUACUUUGCCAGUUCCAGGAGUAUCCUUAACAGAUGCAAUUGGAUCAUACUUUGAAACAGUGCAAGUUUUGUCCAGAAUUAUAGGACACUGACAUCCCAGCCAUGCUGAAACAGCUUUUUAAAUUGACUUCUAUCCCACCACUCUUCUCUCUUACCUCCUCCUAAUGAGUUGUGACUCUCCCCUAGUUAGGGCCUGGACAUUAAAUUGAGAAAAUGUAAGCUUUACCAUAAAUGUACAUGUCUAAUCCCCACCAUUAUCUAUUUGGUAAAGGUUUAUAUUAGUAAUAUUUCAAGCAUGGCUAAAAAUUGUUUCAGGAUUAAUUUUUCAGUUUUUGUUUCAACGAUUUUUAAAAUGUAACUUGUUUUAUUAAACCUCAUGCACAGGAGAUUGUUUUCCACUGUAAA